GCGCAUACAGAGGGCAGCCAACUUGCGAAAGUGAGCGAAUCCCAAAAGUGCGUCGUAGUCCGGAUUGGAGUCUGCAACUCGACUCCAUGAAGUCGGAAUCGCUAGUAAUCGUGGAUCAGAAUGCCACGGUGAAUACGUUCCCGGGCCUUGUACACACCGCCCGUCACACCAUGGGAGUGGGCUGCAAAAGAAGUAGGUAGUUUAACCUUCGGGGGGACGCUUACCACUUUGUGGUUCAUGACUGGGGUGAAGUCGUAACAAGGUAGCGCUAGGGGAACCUGGCGCUGGAUCACCUCCUUAWACGAUGAU
RNAcentral lists this ribosomal RNA (309 nucleotides) under Vibrio parahaemolyticus. Its description in RNAcentral is "partial 16S ribosomal RNA". The record is from RNAcentral. Lineage: Bacteria; Pseudomonadati; Pseudomonadota; Gammaproteobacteria; Vibrionales; Vibrionaceae.